GAUCAUGGCUCAGGAUGAACGCUGGCGGCGUGCAUAACACAUUCAAGUCGAACGGGCAGUAUUCCUUCGGGGGUGCUGCUAGUGGCGGACGGGUGAGUAACGCGUGAGCAACCUGCCUCUGUGAGUGGAAUAACACAGGGAAACUUGUGCUAAUACCGCAUGACGAAGCGAAGCCGCAUGACUUUGCUUCCAAAGAUUUAUCGCACAGAGAUGGGCUCGCGUCCGAUUAGGCAGUUGGUGAGGUAACGGCUCACCAAACCGACGAUCGGUAGCCGGACUGAGAGGUUGAACGGCCACAUUGGAACUGAGAUACGGUCCAGACUCCUACGGGAGGCAGCAGUGGGGAAUAUUGGGCAAUGGGCGCCAAGCCUGACCCAGCGACGCCGCGUGAGGGAAGAAGGUCUUCGGAUUGUAAACCUCUUUGACAGGGGACGAAGUAAGUGACGGUACCCUGAAAACAAGCCACGGCUAACUACGUGCCAGCCGCUGC
RNAcentral lists this ribosomal RNA (490 nucleotides) under uncultured bacterium. RNAcentral's name for it is "bacterial SSU rRNA". It matches the Rfam family "Bacterial small subunit ribosomal RNA", at positions 15 to 518 of the family's 1533-position model. The record is from RNAcentral.